GAGAGACUUGUCAUGGAGGGAUAGAAUAGGAUCGCGGAGGUCAAUGUGGAAGGGAAGGACAGCGUCAAAGGCCUUAUAGGUAGGAUUAGAGGAGGAGGAGGAGAAGAGGUUAGGAGAAAAGGAAGGGAGAAUGAGAGAGAGCACUCAUAGGUGAGCUUAAAGGAGGAGAAAAAUGAGGAGAAGAAGUUGGUGAGAAGAAAGGAGUGGAUAGAUAAAGAAAGACUGCCGAUCAAGAAAGACAAAGGUGGACAAAGCCAUCAUCGAGGAGGAUGGGCCAUAAGUGGGCUUGGAGGAAGAGGAGGAGGAAAAGUGGGUAAAGAGAAAGAGGAGAGGAAAGGAAGGGUUGUGGGUGAGCUUUGAGGAGAAAAAAGUGGAUGAAGAGAAAUGGUAGGAGGAGAAAGAGAGGUCAUCGAUGAGGAAGGGGUGACGAUGGUGGAAACCACCAUGAAAAGCGAUAUGGACAGGCUUGGAAGAGGAGGAGAAGUGUGAGAGGAGAAAGGAGAGGAAGGAGAAGGAGAGUUCGCUAGCAAGAUGGAUGGAGAUGAAAGGAGCCAC
This 555-nucleotide long non-coding RNA is filed under the name Elaeis guineensis (African oil palm). RNAcentral's name for it is "long non-coding RNA (EGUI_LNC046942)". The record is from RNAcentral. Lineage: Eukaryota; Viridiplantae; Streptophyta; Magnoliopsida; Arecales; Arecaceae.